This 536-nucleotide ribosomal RNA is filed under the name uncultured bacterium. RNAcentral describes it as "bacterial SSU rRNA". It matches the Rfam family "Bacterial small subunit ribosomal RNA", at positions 777 to 1315 of the family's 1533-position model. The record is from RNAcentral.
AAUAGAUACCCCGGUAGUCCACCCCGUAAACGUUGGGAACUAGUUGUGGGGUCCUUUCCACGGAUUCCGUGACGCAGCUAACGCAUUAAGUUCCCCGCCUGGGGAGUACGGCCGCAAGGCUAAAACUCAAAGGAAUUGACGGGGACCCGCACAAGCGGCGGAGCAUGCGGAUUAAUUCGAUGCAACGCGAAGAACCUUACCAAGGCUUGACAUACACCGGAAACGGCCAGAGAUGGUCGCCCCGCAAGGUCGGUGUACAGGUGGUGCAUGGUUGUCGUCAGCUCGUGUCGUGAGAUGUUGGGUUAAGUCCCGCAACGAGCGCAACCCUCGUUCUAUGUUGCCAGCACGUAAUGGUGGGAACUCAUGGGAUACUGCCGGGGUCAACUCGGAGGAAGGUGGGGAUGACGUCAAAUCAUCAUGCCCCUUAUGUCUUGGGCUUCACGCAUGCUACAAUGGCCGGUACAAAGGGCUGCAAUACCGUGAGUGGAGCGAAUCCCAAAAAGCCGGUCCCAGUUCGGAUUGAGGUCUGCAACUGA